AGAGUUUGAUCAUGGCUCAGAACGAACGCUGGCGGCGUGCCUAACACAUGCAAGUUGAACGGAUUCCGAAGGAGUAGCAAUACUUUUUCGGGAUUAGUGGCGGACGGGUGAGUAACACGUAGGUAACCUACCCUUAAGCCGGGGACAACCCCGAGAAAUCGGGGCUAAUACCCGAUGGGACCACGGACUGAGAUGUCAGUGGUAAAAGGAGCGAUUCACUUAAGGAUGGGCCUGCGGCCUAUCAGGUAGUUGGUGAGGUAAUGGCUCACCAAGCCAAAGACGGGUAGCCGGGCUGAGAGGUUGGACGGCCACACUGGAACUGAGAUACGGUCCAGACUCCUACGGGAGGCAGCAGUGGGGAAUAUUGCGCAAUGGGGGAAACCCUGACGCAGCGACGCCGCGUGGAGGAUGAAGGUCUUCGGGUUGUAAACUCCUUUUCUCAGGGAAAAUAGUGAUGGUACCUGAGGAAUAAGCCACGGCUAACUCCGUGCCAGCAGCCGCGGUAAGACAGAGGUGGCAAGCGUUGUUCGGAAUUACUGGGCUUAAAGGGCGAGUAGGCGGUAGGGCAAGUCUGAGGUGGAAUCCUAUGGCUUAACCAUAGAAUUGCCUUGGAAACUGCUUUACUUGAGUCAGUGAGGGGAGGGCGGAAUUCCUGGUGUAGCGGUGAAAUGCGUAGAUAUCAGGAGGAAGGCCUGUGGCGAAGGCGGCCCUCUGGCACUGAACUGACGCUGAGGCGCGAAAGCGUGGGUAGCAAACAGGAUUAGAUACCCUAGUAGUCC
RNAcentral lists this ribosomal RNA (779 nucleotides) under uncultured bacterium. RNAcentral describes it as "bacterial SSU rRNA". It matches the Rfam family "Bacterial small subunit ribosomal RNA", at positions 8 to 796 of the family's 1533-position model. The record is from RNAcentral.